This 1342-nucleotide long non-coding RNA is filed under the name Sarcophilus harrisii (Tasmanian devil). Its description in RNAcentral is "lncRNA (ENSSHAG00000023565.1)". Lineage: Eukaryota; Metazoa; Chordata; Mammalia; Dasyuromorphia; Dasyuridae. The record is from RNAcentral.
CAUAUGCUGAGCCCGGCUUUUCUGCAUAUCUAAUUUAGAUCGCUGCAAUUGAACAGACUAUCCGGAGCCCUCCUACCCUGUGCUGAGCUGCAUCUGAUUGGCUGUGGCGAUAUGUGCGUUUCGUUAACUUCUGCCCAUUGACAUAUUAAAUGAAGAUGCACAGGGGAGCGACAUCAGUGAUUUCAAUUGACUCGUCAAUUGCCAGUACAUAGCCCUCAUCAGGCUUCGCUUUGCUAACAAGCUGAUCCAGCACAUGUGACAACAAGGAGGCCAGUCCUUCAAACAAAUGACAUGUUUGAUAAAGAAAUCUUUUCAAACUCAUUAUGCGUUUCGUUUAGCUUUUGUCUUUUGCCCUAGUAUAGCAUCUGUUGCAGGAGGCAUCCGUCCCUUCCUUGAUCGUUGCUGCAUCUUCUGUGAUUGGAGUGUCUUGUCUGCUAAGAGAUGGGAAGUGUAGCUUCUGUUUGUCCCUGUUGUAACGUUGGACUCUGGCCUCUCUGCCUUCCUCAGCUGAGAUUUAAUCUUGUGAAUGAGGCUGCCUUAAGGCAUUAUCCUAAGAUUCUCUAAUAAAAAGGCAAUGUCCUGGAAGAGCUAGGGGUGGAGGGAAGAGUGCCUCUCUGUAAUCUAGGAGCCUUCGAGAAGGAAAUCUGGGGGUUUUUGGCCCACGUGGUAACACAGAGGUGAUAAAACUUCCCAUUGCUUUUGUGAGGCUUGGACAAUUGCAGAGAUGAAAAAUCACAGUUGUGUUGUAAAUAAGAUGUUUGCAAUUCCCUCCUUGGGGAGUAGUGUUUAACUUCAUCUUUUGCUUAUGUGCACGAAACUAAAUACAUGCGUAUGUCUGGAUUCUGGAUUGCAUGCAUCUGGCUCCAUUAGAUUUCAUGUAAUUGCAUAUUGACUAAUGGCAUAAUACAGCUAUUUGACGACUGAAUUGAGGUCCAAAUGCUGCUAUUAGCAGUGUAAUCACUUUGGAUAAGUGAAUAGUUGGACUGUAGUACUUGAAAAUCAGAAACCGGGAGAAUAACCGUUCCGGGGUUUUCAAGGGAAAAGACCCAUUGUAACGUUUUGACUCAGAUGUAAACUAUUAUGAAUUCUAAUUUGUAGGUCAUGAGGAAAAGUAAUUGUGGUAAUUGUGAGACCUCUCAAUGCUUCAAAACUAAUGCCCUGUGCUGUCUUUUCAUUGCUUAUAUAUAAUAUAUAUGUAUGUAUAUAAACAUUUUCUUUUGCGAGUGAAGUGAUUUCAGAGUCUACAUGUGCUAUAAAUCUUUUAAUUAAAUAUGAAAUCUUUUGGAAAAGGUAAUUAUGUAUUUGUUUUUAAUCUGUGUUCAGUUCUCCGAAUGCACAGCCC